CCGUUUUCUCAUACACAUAGGAAUCCAUCCCUCCCAGUAGUUGCUCCAAGUGAAUACACUCCUGUAUUGUCAGAGCUAGAGCCAUGUACUCGGCUUCGCAUGUGGAGAGUGCUACUGUGGGUUGCUUCUUGGUUUUCCAAGAUACUAAGGAACUACCUUUACUCAUACUCACACAAUACCCGGUGGUACUGCGUCUGUCACUAACAUCCGCAGCCCAGUCUGCGUCGCUAUAUGCUCGUAUGCCUAGGCUUCCUUGGCUUUUUGUGAAACAGAGCUGUUUGUCUGCAGUACCUCUGAGGUACCGCAAAACAUGUUUCACCGUGACCCAAUGCUCAUCUGUAGGGUCAGCAAAAUGUUGUGAUAACUUGUUCACUACGAAACAUAUGUCUGGGCGUGUACAGGUUGUCAGGUAAAUGAGGCUGCCGACAGCCUCCCUGUACUUCUUCACAUCAGAGAUUUUAGGCGCACCUUCAGAGUAUUCUAGCUUUGGUUCACAUGGGGUUUCUCUAACCCUACACUCCUGCAUGUCGAAACGAUUCAGUAGUUUUUCAACAAAUCUCCUUUGUGACACUUUUACCCAGCCGUCAGACUGGCUGAAGUCCAUGCCCAGAAAAUACUUCAACCUACCUAGGUCCUUCAUCUUAAAUCUGUUGGAAAGCAUGUUUUUCACCCUCUCCAAACUCUGGGUGUUGCUGGCUGCGAUGAUCAGAUCAUCCACCCAAAUGACCACUAUUACCUUCCCUGUCUCUGUAGACUCUUUUGUGUAAACACAAUUUGCUGUCGGUGAGAAUGUCUCGCCAUAAUCUAUCCCUGCUCUCUGGCUGUAUCCUUUCGCUACAAACCUAGCUUUGUACUGGUCGUUUCCGUCAAUGUCUCCCUUAAUCGAAUAUACCCAUUUUCCUCCCACUGUCUUCCUGCCCUCUGGUAGCUUAGUCAGGGUAAAGGUUUGGUUGUCUUCUAGGGACCCCAUCUCCUCGUCCAUUGCUUUCUUCCACUUUCCUGACUCAGUUGAUGUCAUGGCCUCUUUAAAGGUCAGAGGCACACCACAAACUGCUCGGUAGCAAUAAUCUACACUAGUUAGCGUACUGUCGUCAUCAGCAUCUUCCAGAGAAUAAUCUCUUAGAUACCCCGGGGCUUUACGCUCUCUGGUAGGGUAUCUCCCACUGUCGUGUGGCGUCUCCCUAGGAUGCUUCUCGCAGUCGUCCUCUGAUGCGGAUUGUGGACGAUCAGUCAAUACAUCGGUGUUCGGUACGCUAGGCUGUGAAGUCUCUACUCCCUUAUCACAACCCCCUUUGGGAUCCAGUCCUAGCUCCUGAGUCUGAGUCUCAUUUUCACAGGUUGUCUUGGUGACAAACUUUACCAGCCUGUGCUUCUGUACUUUUCCUUUGCCCGGGUAGUAAACUAGGUAGGCGGGACUGCCCUUGUCGUGCCCUACAAAGAAUCCUCUGUCACACCUAGAAUCUAGUUUGCCUCUGUCUUGCUGGUAGGCACAACACUCUGACCCGAAUUUAUGCAUAUCGGCCAAAUUACACUUUUUACCUGUCAGUGCUGUGUAUGGGGUAGUGCCUGUGUGCUUGUUGAAACACCGGUUCCUGGUAUAGGCUGCUUCCUGGAUGGCAUAGUGCCAAAGGCUCUUAGGUAAGCCACUGUCAAUGAGCUUACAUCUGGCCAUCUCGAAAAGAGUUCGCCCUUCCCUUUCAGCUGUCCCGUUCUGGUGCGGAGAGUAAGGACAGGAAGUCUCGUGCCUGAUUUUGUUCUUUCUCAGUAGUGUCUGAAACUCUCGGUUAGUAAAUUCAGUCCCGUUAUCUGAUCUGAUGCACU
Long non-coding RNA from Gasterosteus aculeatus aculeatus (three-spined stickleback), 1821 nucleotides. The record is from Ensembl. Lineage: Eukaryota; Metazoa; Chordata; Actinopteri; Perciformes; Gasterosteidae.